Molecule: ribosomal RNA, 445 nt
Filed under: uncultured soil bacterium
Lineage: Bacteria
Description: bacterial SSU rRNA
Rfam family: Bacterial small subunit ribosomal RNA
Source: RNAcentral
AGAACGAACGCUGGCGGCAUGCCUAACACAUGCAAGUCGAACGAGACCUUCGGGUCUAGUGGCGCACGGGUGCGUAACGCGUGGGAACCUGCCUUUAGGUUCGGAAUAACUCAGAGAAAUUUGAGCUAAUACCGGAUAGUGUCUUCGGACCAAAGAUUUAUCGCCUUUAGAUGGGCCCGCGUAGGAUUAGCUUGUUGGUGGGGUAAUGGCCUACCAAGGCGACGAUCCUUAGCUGGUCUGAGAGGAUGAUCAGCCACACUGGGACUGAGACACGGCCCAGACUCCUACGGGGGGCAGCAGUGGGGAAUAUUGGACAAUGGGCGAAAGCCUGAUCCAGCAAUGCCGCGUGAGUGAUGAAGGCCUUAGGGUUGUAAAGCUCAUUUACCCGGGAUGAUAAUGACAGUACCGGAGAAUAAGCUCCGGCUAACUCCGUGCCAGCAGCCGC